RNAcentral lists this unclassified non-coding RNA (384 nucleotides) under Sabellaria sp. PR-2017. RNAcentral describes it as "partial internal trancribed spacer 1". The record is from RNAcentral. Lineage: Eukaryota; Metazoa; Annelida; Polychaeta; Sabellida; Sabellariidae.
ACGCAAUUGAUAUUUCAUGUCGAUGUGGAAUAUUCAACUGUACCGAGGCAAAGUUUAUGCAUGGAGGGGUAGGGUUAGCCCCCUCUAGGCCCGGGUAGCCGUGCAUCUUUUCGGAUGCGCGACCACGAUCGUGGAGUUACUCGGGCUGCCUUUGAAAUAGCCUGGUGGGUACCUGUCUUUUCUGAUUAUUCAGAAAAGGGUAAGCCCCUUGGGGUUAGGUUUAAAGAAGUGGUUUUCCACUCGCCCUAACGCGCCCUUGUUUGUUGUUGUGUCACACUGUAAAACUUUGUGCAUAACGGGAAAGGCUUUAGCGAGUCAAUCUCGGGCUCUACCCCUGUAUGGCGGUGGAGGGUAAAGACAACCAUGUUGUGGUAAAACACAACU